CUUCACCAUUGCCCCCCGAUGCCUUCCAGUGUCCAAGUGCGGUCUUCUACUGCCCUGUCCUUCCUGUGAAAGGCAGAGAGGUCCUGCCCCCUUUCUGUGGCCCUCUUGUUUAACUUCUGCCCCCUCACCUCAGGUCCUGGCCUUCAAUCUCGUGACCCCUCCAGCUGUGAAUCUUGCCCUUUGCAAAUGCCUUCCAUACCGUUCAGCGGUCUCUUGGCUGCCGGCACUGGUCUCCAUCUGCUGAGAUGGCGUGGUGCCCGCUCACAAGAUGGCACGCUAUUUUUACCCGGCUUAGGUGCCAAGCCAGCCAGAUGUUUUUUAGCAGUGCAGGGAAGCUGAGCAUUGCUGGGGUGUGGAGGGAAGCUUCCAAAUGUCAGCUCCUUGGGGGGGCUCCGGGACAAGCAGAGGAAAGGCUCUGCCUGGAAGUGGGCAUCCCGAAGAGAUUUCCAGGUGCUGGUACCUGUGUGGGGCUCAGACAGCACACUGUGCACUGGCUGCUGGUUAUGGGCACCUGCCGGGCUGUGAUGGGUCUGCUCCAGGCAGGAAAUGUCCUGGGUCAUCCUUCCCUAGAGGGCUUGUGCUUCAUCCCCCCCCUGCUGAGAUCCAGGCAGUGAUGCCUGGGGACCUAUCCUUCUGGGGCUUCACUGAAUGCUUGGAAAAUUCUAGGUGUGGCUGGCUGCGUGAGGAACCCGCCAGAUCAGGCUGAGUCCAGGCAGUCGUUAGGAUCAGCUUUCCCUCAGAACAGAUGGAGCCAGAGAGCUUGUGUGCUUCAUGUGAGCCCUGGCAGCUGCCGGAAACAGUUUCUGGUCUUGAAGCUCACCUCGGUGAGAGCAGCAUGGGCUGAGAACACGGGAGCUGACUUCAGGUGUAACGGGAGGGCUGCAGGCUAGACCGCAAAGGAACAGCUCCCCGCUGACAGAAUGCUUGGAGAGACCCCAGGGAGAGCCCCGUGGCGACCACAGCACCGGCCUCCAGGUUACCCCAAGCACAUGAGGCUGGAGAAGGUUCUGGAGUGUCUUCAAGCGGUUCAAGGCUUCUGCCAGAAACAAUUGGGAAAACAGAAUGCAGCCCAGGAUCGAAAGAAUCUAUCCAUUCCUCUGGAAUUCUCCAUCUGUCCGGCUGGGCCCCAUAUUAACAUUUGAGUAAUUCCCUAAUGUGAAGUCGCCAGGCUUUAAAAAUAGUGCAGGCAGGCUUGCGUUUGCUAGUGGUUUCUCGCCUUCAAAUGUUGGCCUCAAGCCCUCUGUCCCCCUUGAACAUUCUCCACACCCCUGCCUAUCAUAAUUCCCUUGCCUGUCCUAAUUCAACCCAUUCAUUUAUAUGUACAGUGUUUGUCACCCCCCUUCUCUGUGCUGGACAUUGGUGGGUCUUGGGGUCGGUGGUGAGCAAAAUAGCUGUCACCAUCAUGAAACUCAGUCUGUGAAGAGGCAGGCCAAUUAAAAUUGGGUUAUUAGUGAUGGUUUCUAUAAAGCAGUGCUUCUCUGCUAUCUGUGAGCAAAGACCUAUUAUUUUUCAUUUCCCAUCAAACAUGGUCCUACUGUGCAUGAUUUGUGUGUAGUUUGUAUUGUGAGUUGGAUGAUACUUCACCCUGUCUAAUGAGAUGGGUCCACCCAUCCCCUGCUUGGAUGCCCUAUAAUAAAAGUUUCUAAACCCUCAAA
Herpailurus yagouaroundi (jaguarundi) is the source of this 1655-nucleotide long non-coding RNA. RefSeq lists it as uncharacterized. The transcript has 4 exons. NCBI's taxonomy places the organism in Eukaryota, Metazoa, Chordata, Mammalia, Carnivora, Felidae. The record is from RefSeq and is a predicted model, not a curated record.